CCUACGGGUGGCAGCAGUGAGGAAUAUUGGUCAAUGGGCGGGAGCCUGAACCAGCCAAGUCGCGUGAGGGAAGACGGUCCUAUGGAUUGUAAACCUCUUUAGGCGGGGAGCAAUGCAGGGCACGCGUGUCCGGAGGGCGAGUACCCGCAGAAUAAGCAUCGGCUAACUCCGUGCACGCAGCCGCGGUAAUACGGAGGAUGCGAGCGUUAUCCGGAUGUAUUGGGUUUAAAGGGUGCGUAGGCGGAUUGUUAAGUCAGCGGUAAAAUGUCCGGGCUCAACCCGGGCCGGCCGUUGAAACUGGGGAUCUUGAGUGGGCGAGAAGUAUGCGGAAUGCGUGGUGUAGCGGUGAAAUGCAUAGAUAUCACGCAGAACUCCGAUUGCGAAGGCAGCAUACCGGCGCCCGACUGACGCUGAGGCACGAAAGCGUGGGGAUCGAACAGGAUUAGAUACCCCAGUAGUC
Molecule: ribosomal RNA, 460 nt
Filed under: uncultured bacterium
Lineage: Bacteria
Description: partial 16S ribosomal RNA
Rfam family: Bacterial small subunit ribosomal RNA
Source: RNAcentral